UACGUAGGUGGCAAGCGUUGUCCGGAAUUAUUGGGCGUAAAGCGCGCGCAGGCGGUCCUUUAAGUCUGAUGUGAAAGCCCACGGCUCAACCGUGGAGGGUCAUUGGAAACUGGGGGACUUGAGUGCAGAAGAGGAAAGCGGAAUUCCACGUGUAGCGGUGAAAUGCGUAGAGAUGUGGAGGAACACCGGUGGCGAAGGCGGCUUUCUGGUCUGUAACUGACGCUGAGGCGCGAAAGCGUGGGGAGCAAACAGG
RNAcentral lists this ribosomal RNA (253 nucleotides) under uncultured bacterium. RNAcentral describes it as "partial 16S ribosomal RNA". It matches the Rfam family "Bacterial small subunit ribosomal RNA", at positions 524 to 776 of the family's 1533-position model. The record is from RNAcentral.